RNAcentral lists this long non-coding RNA (404 nucleotides) under Mytilus galloprovincialis (Mediterranean mussel). Lineage: Eukaryota; Metazoa; Mollusca; Bivalvia; Mytilida; Mytilidae. The record is from RNAcentral.
GGGGAAUAACUCUCAUAUGGAGUAUCAGGAUAGCUUCGGUUAAAACUAAACUCCGAAUCCUGAAGAUGUAACGAGCAAUUUGGUAAAAUAAAUUUGUCGUAAUCUUUUACGGUUGCGAAGGAGUAGUGGCCACAAGAAAAACAGUGUUUGGGGAGAUAACUCUUACUGCGCGGUUGUCAGUUUUAAAGCGUAUAAACUAUACGAUAUCAUAUUCCAAAUAUCUAAGCGACAUCUUUUGAAACAACAAAAUUACGCAAGAAAAAAAAUUAGGCGGAAGAAAAAAAAAAAUAAUAAUCAGAACAAAAUCAAUAGGUCUUUCCACGGAAAGGUGGAAAGACCUAAUUAGAAAACAGAACCUACAAUGUACAUGUAUAGCUGCUAAUUUAAAAAAAAAAUAUAAUGGA